AUUUGGGAAAGGAGAAGAGAGAAACUAAGGCCAGUUGUAUGGAGGACGAUGGGGCAGGGGGACAGUCUAUGUCCAUGGGACUUAACUCUCCUGGGCAGCCCUGAGUGUCUCAGGAUGAAUUGACAGUGGCUUGUUGUGGGCUGGGCUGCGUGACCACCAUCUUUGUCUCCUCUCCAGAGUCCUCGGUAAGAUCUCUGUUGCCUUGCAUUCCUCAUUGUGGCUCAGUGGGUUAAGAACCCAGCUAGCAUCUAUGUGGACAUGGGUUUGAUCCCUGGCCUCGCUCAGAGGGUUAAAGAUCUGGCAUUGCCCCAAGCUGCAGCAUAGGUCAAAGAUGAGGCUCAGAUCUGGUGUGGCUGUGGCUGUAAAGUAGGCCAGCAGCUGCAGCUCCAGUUUGACCCCUAGCCCAGGAACUUACAUAAGCCUCAGGUGUGGCCCUAAAAAAAAAAAAGACUGUGCAUUCUACACAUACGGUGGAGAUGGUGUGCAUUCUACACAUACGGUGGAGAUGGUGUAUAGGGAACAACAGAUAGUUUGGUUGCACAAAUGUGAUGCCUGUUGCUUCCGUGUGGCCACUGAGGACAGUUCUAACUAUCUUCAUCAGCAUCAGCUAAGAGUUACUGAGCAUAAUUCUGGGCCAGAUGUUUAUUUUUUUAUCCUCGUGGAAAAUAUGGAAUGCUCCUCAUUCCAUUCACCAUGGAUGGAAGCUAUUGAAGGAAUGCUUGGAGGAGGAAUGCUUUGAGUACAUUGUGUGAGUGUGUGUGGUGGGGAGGCUGAGUGUAGGGGAGGAGGGGGUCAAGAAAGCCUUCACAAGCCUUCAUAGGGAGGAAAGCCUUGCAUUUCAAGAUGAACUGAGCACAUUUGAUGAUGGAGAUGAUAUCAAAGAUAAAAACAUAGCCGAGCUUGAAAAUAAGGGACUACUUAUUGGGCCAGAGGUUGAGAAAACUACCUAAUAAGACAGCAAACAUCUGAGUUGAGUUUGGCAAUGUGAGUUAGGAUCCUGAAAGUCAAAAGAGAGGAAAUUAUUCCAGAACGAGGGAGCAGUGGGGACAGAGCAAUGGCAUGGCGUGAAGGGGGCAUGAGGCUGGCACCGCAAGCACAAAGCCACCUGAGGGGAAGUGAGACUGGGAAAGUGGGCUGGAGACCGCUUGUCACAUCUAAGCUGUCAUGCUGAGCUAAGACUCUGGACUGAAUUUUGUAGGAAAAGGAGAUUUUGAGGGAGACACCAUGAUUGGUGGUUGUACCAAGGGAAACACAGAUGGACAAGUGGAGGUAUAAUUGGUGAGGCAAGAACUCAGGGAUGCUAGGGUGGUAGGGAGUGAGCUGUCCUCGCCUGUGUCAGGACAGGAGGAGAGGAUUGUUGCCAUGGACCCGAUGAGGCAAGGCCGAACUAGCACCACACAGUGGAGGCAUGGCGGCCAUGUGUGUGAUCCUUGGAAGUAGAAUCCACAGGUCAAGUGCACUGGUAGUCACCUUAGAUACUGCUGAUGAUGACAAUGUCAUUGGGCAUCUCUUGGGAGCCAGCAUGGUGCCAGGCACUAUGUUUACAUUAUGGUCGUGUUGAAGGGCAAGGACCACAUGGUAUUCCUUGCUUAGCUCCUAAUUUGGUGUCAUGUGAUAGGAGUUGAGGAAGCCAUGAAGCCAGGGUUAGCAACUAAGUCACGCCCAUUUUACAGUUGAGAAAACUGAGGCCUAGGAAUGGCAAUGAGGCAACAGAACCAGGCUAAUACCCAUCUCCAGCCUCCCUAUUGAGUGCUCUUCCUGUGUCAUGACUUCCCAGUUGAAGAUAAUGCCUCUUCUUUUUGAAGCCACUGUCAGCUGCUGCUUUGGCUGUGACAUUUUGACCUUACUGCCUCUGAGCUAAUUAGGUCCUGGGGCUGCUAGGCCUGAUUCUCUUAACGUUUGCAUGGACAAGUGUGAUGUACCCAGGCCUCCUUGCCUGACACUGCUGUGUGAUGCCAGCUGUUUGCUGAAGGUCUCCAUGGAGAAUAUGCUGCCUGGCUUGCUCUGGUGCGCAGAGGGCAGGCAGCUCAGAGUGACAGGUGGGGCCUUCAGGACAGGCCUCUCCUUUAGGAAAGGCAGGUCCUUAUUCCAAGCAAGGAGCCAAUUUCCUAUUGCAGCCUCCGUGUGCGAGAGAAAGCAGCUCUGCCUGUUCAGAACCCAAAGCUGUGUUUGUCUUGAACUGUCCAAAUGUUUAUCCUUGCACCAGUGGGACUCGAGCGAGACUAGACACCCCGGCCAUGCAGUUUCCCUUUUCAAUUUUUAAUUCAUUUUCCUUGACGCACAGCUCAGAAGCUUGGCCUCCACAUCUGGGCCCCUUUCUCACCUGUCUCAUUGUCACAGGUGAGUCUCAAAGCCAGGGCAUGGUGGGUAAGGCCCAGCCAGGGAAGGGUUCAACAAGACAACCUCAGCAUGUCUGUAGAUUCAUGGGUUCUCGAGAACUUCUCAGACGAGCACAUUGUGCAUUCAGGAAGUCCUUACUUCUCACCUGCACCAGGCGCUCUUCCAGGCACUGGGCAUAAGGCAGUGAGUGCCAGAGACCCAGGGCGUGAAUUAUUUACGUUGAUAUAAAGUUGUAGAGCUCAGUGUAAACAAUGACAAAUGAGAAUCACCAUUCGCCAGUGCUUUUUAUAGCUACCACCUGGAGCUUCACCACCAAAGUGAUAAACAUGCUUUGACCAGGGCUCAGAAUAGCCCGUCUUGCGUUGUCUCUCCCCUUGGCACUCAGGCUUAGCUUCACAAAAACAGCAGAUCUGGACAGGGCCCCCUCUUGGAGCAAUGGCUGAGGUUUCUGUAUUACAGUCUCCUAGGCUGUCAAGGAUUACUGCUUCCCUUAUCUUUUUUAACAUUAAAGUAUUUCUUUUUGUUUUCUGUUUGGCUGUGCCCAUGGCACAUGGAAGUCCCCAGGCCGGGAUCCAACCCGUGCCAUAGCAGUGACCCAAGCUACUGGAGUGACACCAGAUCCGUUAUCCACUGUGCCGUAGGAGAACUCUGUGGUUUCUGAUGUAAAGUUGGUACAUGCUUAAUUCAAAAUUUGGGAAUUUACUGGGAGAAUGGAUGCUCAGUUCCACUUUGGAGGUGGCCCCGCACUAAGGGAUAUAUCAGUGUUGCAGUGAAUUCCACUGAGACACCCCCAGGCUGCGGAUGUAGUUGGGGUCCUGGCUCACUACAUCUCACGUUCUCUGCUUCUGCAGACUUGGGGUAGAAAUUUCUUCCUGCCAGGAUUGCCAUGGUCCUCCUGGUGGACCGCCAGUGAAUACUCUAAAGUGGAAAAGAGAUCCUGGCCCCUUGUUGCAGUGGCUCCUUGGAGCCUGGUUGGUGGGCCAUUGACAAUACACAGCGCCUCAGGGUUUGCAUUCUGUGUUUUCACAUCCUCCCAGCUUCACCCGUGUCUUCCCUCAUUUCCCUUUUGCCUCAUGUGUGUGGUUGUGUGCUCUGUACAGUUUUGUGAGCCAAGCGAAAUCUUUCUAUGAGUCAGGCAGUCCAGGCAGACCUCAGAGAUAUUGCAGGUUCAUUUCCCGACCACUGAACUAAGCGAAUAUUGUGAUAGAGUGCGUCAUACAAAUAUCUUGGUUUCCCAGUGCAUAUAUAAAUUGUGUUUACACUGUACUGUGGUCUGUUAAGUGUGCAAUAGCAUUAUGGGUUUUUUUUAAUUAACUUUUAUUUCAAUAGGAAAUUCUUAUGCAUUCCUGAACCCAGAGUGACACUAACUUAUGGCAACAUCAUAUUCCAUUGAGAUGGAUAAGUUACUUUAAUGAGCAACAUUAGCUGUCAUAACAUAACCUAAUAAGUCAUAUGACCUUCAAUUACUUGAUAAUACAAUCAUUUUGCCAUUGAAUGGUUUUAAAAGACAAUGUACAUACCUUAAAAGUCAUGUAUUACUAAAAGAUACUAAUCAUCAUCGGAGCCUUCAGCAAGUCAUUCACUAACAUCAAAGGUCACUUUAACAAAUGAUAAAGUUUGAAUUACCAAAUUACCAAAAUGGGACACAAUGACACGAAGUGAACAAAUGCUGUUGAAAAAAAUGGCUCCUAUAGACUUGCCUGACAGUGUUGCCACGAACCUUCGAUUUGUCAAAAAAAAAAAAAACCCCAAAAAACAAAAUACAAAAAACAAAAACAGUAUCUUCAAAGAGCAAUAAAGCAAGGUGUGUCUGGAUACAUAAAUAAAAAGGGCAGGAAGCACACAGAGUAGGCCUUUAUUCUUUGGUUGUACUUUAUUGAAUCAUAAACCAAAAUCAAUAUGAGAUAGUCUAGUUCAGGGUUAAGUUUUUCUGUAAAGGGCCAUAUAAUAAAUAUUUUAGGCUUUGCAGAUCAUAGAAACUCUCUCACAACUACUCCACUCUGCCAUUGUGAUUUGAAGGCGGCACAGAAAAUACAUGGAUGAGGCUGUGUUCCAAUAAAACUUUAAUUACAAAAACAGGUGGUGGGCCAGACUUUGCUUCUGGGGCCAUAGUUUACUGAUAUUUGGUCUAGUUCAACUCCUUAUUUUAUAAAUUAAGAUAUCGAGAAGUUCCCCAUUGUGGUUCAGUGUGUUAAGAAGCUGACUAGUGUCUGUGAGGAUGAGGGUUCGAUCCCUGGCCUUGCUCAGUGGGUUAAGGAUCCACUGUUGCCGUGAGCUGCAGUGUAGGUUACAGAUGUGGCUCAGAUCUGGUGUGGCUGUGCUGUAGGCCAGUAGCUGCUGCUCCGAUUCAACC
This 4693-nucleotide long non-coding RNA is filed under the name Sus scrofa (pig). RNAcentral describes it as "lncRNA (ENSSSCG00040030173.1)". The record is from RNAcentral. Lineage: Eukaryota; Metazoa; Chordata; Mammalia; Artiodactyla; Suidae.